This 253-nucleotide ribosomal RNA is filed under the name uncultured bacterium. RNAcentral's name for it is "partial 16S ribosomal RNA". It matches the Rfam family "Bacterial small subunit ribosomal RNA", at positions 524 to 776 of the family's 1533-position model. The record is from RNAcentral.
UACAGGGGGGGCAAGCGUUGUUCGGAAUUACUGGGCGUAAAGGGCUCGUAGGCGGCCAACUAAGUCACACGUGAAAUCCCCAGGCUUAACCUGGGAACUGCGUGUGAUACUGGAUGGCUUGAAUUCGGGAGAGGGAUGCAGAAUUCCAGGUGUAGCGGUGAAAUGCGUAGAUAUCUGGAGGAAUACCGGUGGCGAAGGCGGCAUCCUGGAUCGACAUUGACGCUGAGGAGCGAAAGCUAGGGGAGCAAACGGG